Molecule: long non-coding RNA, 841 nt
Organism: Aethalodelphis obliquidens (Pacific white-sided dolphin)
Lineage: Eukaryota; Metazoa; Chordata; Mammalia; Artiodactyla; Delphinidae
Exons: 3
Source: RefSeq, a predicted model, not a curated record
CGCAAGCGCUCUACGCGCGGGGAAGUGACGGCACGCUUCCGCCAGCCCCGCGGUAGAGUGAGAGGGAAGGGACAAUCUUGGUACGGACGGCGACACGAGCGCGAGGAGGUGCUGUGGAGACUGAAGAACGGUGGCUGUGGCGAAAGCAGAGACUCCCUGGUGGCAUGCAGUGCUGGAGACAGACAGAUCAUUCUGUCAUAGAAUGUUGGGAAAAUACCUAGCCUGGAGUCGAAGACAGAAGAGCUUUCUAGGAGCAGACAGAGCCAAGCUGGCAGCCUGGAAAGCCCUUGCCGAGAAGGUAUUCAUGGGACUGAGACGUGUUCCCUUUCUGCUUUUACCCAAAGCUUUCCUUAUCUUAGGAAGUGGGGAAUUUGGCUGAAACCCAGUGCAUCCAUCUGGUUAAAAUAAACGUCUUGGGUGGUCUAAGAUGGAAAAGAACUUAAUGAAGAGUCAGAUUUGGAAGCGGGAGAGACAGAUUUGGAAGUAGAAAUGUUGCCUUUGUGAAUUUGGGGCUUUUUAGCACCAGUUAAACAUAUGAUGUCAGUCUUGGGCCUGAGGGUGUCCCUUCCAGUUGAAUGCCCCUGUAACACUGCCAGCUGCCUAUAGCAGGGUUUGGAGGAAGAUGUGCUCUGAGGGGUAAGAUUGUGGCCUCAGACAGAGAUAGAUGGAAUCACAGAAAUCAGGAGCCAUGUGGGGGAAAACCAAGGAGCUGUGGAAAGAGCACUGGUUGUGAAGUAGAGGUCUGAGUUUGUAUGCUGGUCCUCUUCUUUUUUUUUUUUUUUUUUUGUGUUACGUGGGCCUCUCACUCUUGUGGCCUCUCCCGUUGCGGAGCACAGGCUCC